AGAAAAUUAUUGAAAAUCUUACAAAAAAUUAUCUUUAUAUUUUUUUCUUGAUAAAAUUAACUAGCUUUUUCGAAGGAAGGACCAUUUUUAGUCAUCUUAAAUCAAAAUAUUCCUAGCAUGAGAAAAAGAAAGAGUAGGACAAGAAUAUACAUUAUAUAUGAAGUAAAAUAUGGAAUAAAAUAGUUAAGAGGGAAGAUAAUGGAGAGAG
This 208-nucleotide long non-coding RNA is filed under the name Elaeis guineensis (African oil palm). RNAcentral describes it as "long non-coding RNA (EGUI_LNC022860)". Lineage: Eukaryota; Viridiplantae; Streptophyta; Magnoliopsida; Arecales; Arecaceae. The record is from RNAcentral.